Molecule: non-coding RNA, 163 nt
Filed under: uncultured Faecousia sp.
Lineage: Bacteria; Bacillati; Bacillota; Clostridia; Eubacteriales; Oscillospiraceae
Source: RNAcentral
AUGGGCUGCCGGAGAGAAUAGGGAAUCGGGUGCAAAUCCCGAACGGUACCGCCACUGUAAGCGAGGAGGCGGCCGCACAGGGCGAAAGCCGGUCAUUGGAUGCAUAUCUGAGAAGGCGGUGCGGCAGCUGAAGAGACGCGAAGUCAGGAUAACUGCUAAAGCU